Molecule: ribosomal RNA, 433 nt
Filed under: uncultured bacterium
Lineage: Bacteria
Description: partial 16S ribosomal RNA
Rfam family: Bacterial small subunit ribosomal RNA
Source: RNAcentral
AACGAACGCUGGCGGCAGGCCUAACACAUGCAAGUCGAGCGAGGACUUCGGUCCUAGCGGCGGACGGGGGAGUAACGCGUGGGAACGUGCCCUUUGCUUCGGAAUAGCCCUGGGAAACUGGGAGUAAUACCGGAUGAGCCCUUUGGGGGAAAGAUUUAUCGUCGAAGGAUCGGCCCGCGUUGGAUUAGGUAGUUGGUGGGGUAAUGGCCUACCAAGCCGACGAUCCAUAGCUGGGUUGAGAGGAUGAGCAGCCACACUGGGACUGAGACACGGCCCAGACUCCUACGGGAGGCAGCAGUGGGGAAUCUUAGACAAUGGGGGAAACCCUGAUCGAGCCAUGCCGCGUGAGCGAUGAAGGCCUUAGGGUUGUAAAGCUCUUUCAGCUGGGAAGAUAAUGACGGUACCAGCAGAAGAAGCCCCGGCUAACUCCGUG